UAGAUCUUUCUGUAUGAUGAUUGUGCAUUAUUCUUUCAGUGAAAAAUCCAAUGAAUGCCAACAGACCAUUUCUGGUUUGUUUGUCUAAACCCUCAGACCGAGGGAGUCUCAGUUUCCUACUCUUUGGAUAAAAGAAUGAAAAUUGACCAUCAUACAGUUCAAAGGUGCUAGAAAGAGAUGUAAGAAACAAUUUUUAACAUUUCACAUAAGGUGUUCUUUCUAAAUUCAUGAGGAGAAAUAUACAGAUAGGAAUCCUGAAAUUAUCGAAAAGAAGCUUGAUGGCACUUGAUAUGGAAAAUAUCCCUGUGCAUUCCCCAGUGUCUUUAAGUAAGGCUGGAAAAUCUCUUGUCAGAGAUCAUGAAGAACUGAACAGAAUCACAACAGAGACACUUCAAUGAAAUAAUGGUUGGACUUGAUACUGUUGGAAGGAAAAGAUCCGGUUCACUCUCUCCGGCGGGAAAGAGAAAGUCGGUACAAUGGACAAAAUGAGAAAAUGGGAAAGCGAGCUGCUUGGAAAGGAGGUUUCUUUAUUUCGGAAGCCAGAAACUGCAGAGACAACAGCGAUGGCUUCCUGGUCAGAUGGCAACCUGGUCUGGUUUGCAAGAUAAAAAUCCGAUGCAGCAGUCAAAAGUAUCUAGAGCUGUGUUCUCUGACCUGUAUCUUCUAAAUGUGUUAGACUGUAAUUUCCAUCAUUCCUCAGCCAAUAUGAGCAGAGAUUUGGUCCAAUCUGGGAACUUGUAAUACAACACAUCUUGAGAUCUUAUGAUUGGAGAAGAAUGAGUCAUUCUAGUGACUCAGGAAAAAGUAGACUUCAGUUGAUGGAAAAUAUUACAAAAAGAUGUAGACAAGAGCAUGAAGGAAAUAUCUAUGUAUAUCAAAGUGAAAUAUCAAAGUGAAAUAAGGAGACACAUUGAGAAUUAUAGAGUAUAUAGCCAGUUUGGACUAGCUCUGUAGACCCCUGGACUCCAGGGAACCCGUGGACUUUGUGGAUCCCGGGGGGGCUGCGAUGUCAUCACAGGGAUUCCACGAAGGCUUGAAGAAAUGUUAUGAUUUAAAUCUUCAAUUAAAUCUUGGGGAUCCAUGGCCAUGGUACAUGGCCACAAAAGGUAUUUAAAGGGAGUCCAUGGUGGAGAAAAGUUUGAGAACCACUGAUCAUAAGGUACCAGGGUAGAAAACUGGAGACUGUGAAUUCUAGUUCUGCCUUAGCCAUGAAAGCCAACUGAGUGAUUUUGGGCCAGUCGCUCUUCCUCAGUCCAACUGACUUCACAGGGUUGUGGCGAAAAUAGGAGGAGGAAGAUAUGCUGGUUGUUUGCUGCCUUCAGUUAUUUGUAAAAAUAAUAAAGAUAAAUAUUUUAUUAUAUUAUAUAUUAAUCAAUUAUUCUGGCUUUAUGCAGUAUUCUAAACUAAUCAAAUCAAUCCCUUUUUUCAUUUAGUGGAAGAAAAAUGAAGGCCAGCUUCCAGAGCUGACAGUUGUUUCUUAAAUAAGUUCUUUAACCCCAUUAUAUUUCAUGUAACAUAGAAAGGGAUACAAAAGAACCAUUUUACUCCGAAUCCCAUUAGAAUUCAGAAAAAUUCUAGAAUAUUGUCCUUUACAGCAAUGCCUCUUGAUUCACAGCUGGGCUCACAUUGUACCUUAAGCCAAGCCUGUAUAAAAUAAGAGCCAGUUUGGUCUGAUGGUUAAGCAUGAGGCUAGAAGCUGGGAGACUGUGAAUUCUAGUGCCACCUUAAGCACAAAGCCAGCUGGGUAACUUUGGACCAAUCACUCUCUCUCAGCCUUAAGGAGGAGACAAUGGCAAAUCCAAAAUCUCACCAAGAAACUUGCAAGACUGACUUGAAGGCACAAUAGCAAGUAAGAUAUGGGAUCCUGUUCUGCUCUAUUGAGUUACAGGGAUUAGAAGAGAAGAGACAGAUGUGUAAACUCUGAACCAGAAAAAAAAUAAUCAAGACACCAAAGAAUUUUCCAACCCCGUUUGUUGGUGAAAAGGCAGUAGAGUAGUCCUUUCCCAGCAAUCACUUGUUCAGGGAGCAUUUGAAAUUAUGAUAGCACUGAAGAAGAGACUUCUGACUGGUCCUCAUAGUUACAGGCUUUACAGCAUUCCUGCAGUCAUGUCUGUAAUUUGUGUGCUUAGUGACUGGCUCACAAUGACACUACAAUGUGCUCUGAUUGUCAUUUCUGACCUUCACUGCCAGCUUUUGUCAGGCAGGAUUUACCUAAUAAGUAAAGAUUAAGUCAAGAAAAAGACCAUGGCCCAGGCAAAAACCCCGAAUAUUUAGAGAAACAACCACUUAUUCAGCUUCUUGUAUGGAGCUCAAAGACAGGCACCCCAACAUUUUCCCCAGGGACCAUUUCAGCUGUGAAAUCCGGCCAGAUCUAUCCAGCUCGCGUGAACCGGUAGUGCCGAUGGCGGGAGGCUCCACCCACCAGCCAGGACGUCAUUACAUCCCAUUUUUGAUCCUCUGCACAUGCACAGAAGGCUCUGCACAUACGCAGAAGAGGCGCACAGGUGCUCCUGCGCGCUCCCGUUCCUGAACUGGUAGCAAAG
Pantherophis guttatus is the source of this 2543-nucleotide non-coding RNA. NCBI's taxonomy places the organism in Eukaryota, Metazoa, Chordata, Lepidosauria, Squamata, Colubridae. The record is from RefSeq and is a predicted model, not a curated record.